UCUUCUUCUUCUUCCCUUUUCCUCUUUCUUUGUUUCUUUGCAUACAAAAUUCUUCUUCCUCUUUCUAAUUUUCUGCUCAUAAUUGCUCUGAGAAAAACAAAACAAUGAAAAAAAAAAGAUCAAAUGGGUUAUGGCAAGAACUAGGCUUCCUAAGUGGUUUCUUAUAAGUUAUUGUUAGUGAUCAAAGUGAUAUGUUGGUCCUGUUGGAUGUUAGUUGUGGGAAUUACAUCAAUGAUUUGCCCUAAGGAAUUUGAUUUAAAUCUCAUAUCAGUGUUAAAUCAAAUUCAUUGUUUACACUCGCUUUAUACGCGUGUAUUUCAUACAUUUUGUCCAACUCAGCUGAUUUAAUGCCACAUAAGCUUGGUCAAUGGUUAUAAACGGUUAUUAUAUACGGUUUGAAGGAGUGUAAGUGUUCAAUUGGCAAAUUGUUAAGUUUGAGGACCUGCAUGACAAAGUGUCACAAGUAUAGGUGCCAUUUAGGCCAUUUUGCCUAGGGGUGGGCAUAAAAUCCGAAAAACCGAAUUCCGAAUCGAACCGAAUUAAUUUGGUAUUUCGAUUUUUCAGUAUUUCGGUUUAUUUCGGUACAUAAAUUACGGUAUUUCGGUAAUUCAGUACAGUAUAUGGUAUUGGAUUAUUGAUAUUUCGGUAUUUCGGUAUAGUUUAAUGAAGUGAGAUCAAAAGCAAAUCUCACUACUGUCAACUUGUUUCUAAAAUUUCUCGGACUUCUCAGAGUUUGUAAUUUGAGAUUAAACACUACACACCAGAGUUUCUCGAGCCUUUUAGGAAUAUCAAUAGCUCUAAUGUCAUUUGUUGAGCAUAAAAGCUGUGCGACAAAAAACCUGAAGGCAUAUGCAUGUCUUAAAGUAUUCUCAAGCUUGUCUCUCAGUCAUUUAAACAUGAGAGAGGAAGUAGAAUAAGUUAAACUUGUCACGGGAAGUUUUCAAGUUAAUAUUUUCAUUUAUUUGAGAAAGUCUCUCUAUUUCGGUUCAAGCUUUCAUUUGAGAAUGUGAACCCCCCAGAGGAGAAAUGCAUCCGGAAAGCAGAAUUGGCAACUAGAAAAGGAGGCUGGUUUACCAUCAUUGUAAUUUUCGGACCUCAAAAUACAUAGUGGUGUAGUAGAACGAUCACUUUUUCAGCAUUGGCCUUAAUACAAA
Non-coding RNA from Nicotiana tabacum (common tobacco), 1154 nucleotides. NCBI's taxonomy places the organism in Eukaryota, Viridiplantae, Streptophyta, Magnoliopsida, Solanales, Solanaceae. The record is from RefSeq and is a predicted model, not a curated record.